Molecule: ribosomal RNA, 301 nt
Filed under: uncultured bacterium
Lineage: Bacteria
Description: partial 16S ribosomal RNA
Rfam family: Bacterial small subunit ribosomal RNA
Source: RNAcentral
CAGUAGCCGCGGUAAUACGUAGGGUGCGAGCGUUAAUCGGAAUUACUGGGCGUAAAGCGUGCGCAGGCGGUUGUGUAAGACAGGUGUGAGAUCCCCGGGCUUAACCUGGGAACUGCGCUUGUGACUGCACAGCUAGAGUAUGGCAGAGGGGGGUGGAAUUCCACGUGUAGCAGUGAAAUGCGUAGAGAUGUGGAGGAACACCGAUGGCGAAGGCAGCCCCCUGGGCCAAUACUGACGCUCAUGCACGAAAGCGUGGGGAGCAAACAGGAUUAGAUACCCCCGUAGUCCCUGUCUCUUAUAA